This 1691-nucleotide long non-coding RNA is filed under the name Homo sapiens (human). RNAcentral's name for it is "HSALNT0292231". The record is from RNAcentral. Lineage: Eukaryota; Metazoa; Chordata; Mammalia; Primates; Hominidae.
CAGGAUCUGGUUGGGUCUGGUUGGGUGCACAGGCCAUCACCCCUGGGAAAGAGAAGUCUUCUUAAGUGAGGAGACGUCUCCAGCCUUGCUUCAAUACAUGCUUUCCAACUUCUGCACCUGUUCCACGGUUCCGUCCGCCUGAAGGCUCUCUCACUCUCCUCCAGAAAGACUUCCAUCUCCCUGCAGGGAAACUGGACACAUGGAGACAUUGAGCCACUGCCCAAAGUUACACAGGAAAGCCAGCUAUGUCAAUGUGGACACUCGAGCAGUCCUCUGGAGUGAGCCACAUGGUGAAAAAUGGAGUCCUCCUGCCACCAGCCAAAAGGGACUUGCCAACCUUGUGACUGAGCCGGCCCAGACACUCCAGCCCCAGUUAAACCUUUGGAAGACUGUGGCCUCACCAACAUCUUGACUGCAACUUCGUGAGAGACCCAGAGCUAGACCCAUGCAACUAAGCUGCUCCCCAAUUCCUGGCCCACAGACACUGGGAGAGAUAAUACAUGUUUAUUUCUGUUUGAAGCUGCUAAGUUUUGGGUAAUUUGUUUUGCAGCAAUAGGUAAUUGAUAGCAUUAGGAAACAUUAGCUAAUGCUAACAAUGUUUUGCAGAUGAGGGAAUUGAGGCAUAAAAGUAACUUGCCCCAGGUCACACAGGUAACAAGUCGUUUAAACCAUGGCAGUUUGGAUCUAUGUAAAGUUCAGUAAUAAAUUAGAAUCUCUCUUUUACAGGAAUCAGGACACUUUGCCUGCUCAGAGGGAGAGAGGGAAAGAGACAGAGACACAAACACAGAGAGACAGUGACAUGGAGAAGUGCGCCGUGGGCUCACAGUACCAUGUGAAGGACUGGGGCUGCCCUUCUGUAAAGUGAAGGCAGUGGAGAAGUGAAGUGAAGUGUAAGUGAAGAGGAAAGUGAAGGAUGGUAGAGAGCACCCUUGCCCUUGCAGCCUGGCUGUGUUUGGCUUGGGGCUGCUGGUCUCCGACCCUGGCUGGGCUGGUGACACAGCCUAAGGUACCUGGGGGUGGAAUCUGGCACCCCUGAGCAGACCCCUCCCUGGCUCUUGUCCCCCUGUGCUGACACUCUCUGUCCCAGGCUCUCUCUGCCUCCAGACCAGAGCUCCUCCAGGGAAAAGGUGGAGUCUUGUUCGUCUGUGUCCCUCACCUAGCAUAAGGCCUGCCAGAGCAGGCUGGGCGAGGUGAACACAGAAGGUCCUCUGGCCCUGGUACUGGAGAGGCAUCAUCACUGGGGACAGAGUGAGAACCAGGAUGAUGCUGUUUGUUACUGGAGGAGCUCCCAUUGGAUGGAGGAGCCAACAACGACAGGCCAGUGUGAUCAGGGAGAUUGGGACACACAGUGCCGUGGGGGCCCAGAGGAGCAGGGAGGAUCUCUGUGGAGGAGGCGAGAAGUCUUCCCAGAGGAGGAGGCAUUUGAGAAAUUAACCAGUUUAUGUGCCCUGAAAAAUUCCCACUUCCACCCUCUGGGUUCGCAUGCUGGCUCAGUCACUUACUAGCUGUGUGACCUCUCUGCUGCUUAGCUUACUCAUCUGUAAAAUGGGAUAAACACAAAACCUGCCUGAUGGAGAUGUCGUAAGGAUCAAAGAGGAAAAAGAAUUUAAAACAUUUAGAAUGGUGCCUGACCCCCAGCAAGUAUACAAUAAAUAUUGGCUAUUGUUGUUAUUUUAUGUGGUUUUCUUUUA